GUGUAGUGCCACACCAUCCUGCCUGCACCUGAUUUCAUCUGAUCUUGGAAGCUGAGCAGUGUUGGGCUGGUUGGUACUUGGAUGGAAGAAUACAUCUGCCUGCGUUACCAC
RNAcentral lists this ribosomal RNA (111 nucleotides) under Jaculus jaculus (lesser Egyptian jerboa). Lineage: Eukaryota; Metazoa; Chordata; Mammalia; Rodentia; Dipodidae. The record is from RNAcentral.